RNAcentral lists this ribosomal RNA (759 nucleotides) under uncultured Porphyromonas sp. Its description in RNAcentral is "bacterial SSU rRNA". It matches the Rfam family "Bacterial small subunit ribosomal RNA", at positions 28 to 776 of the family's 1533-position model. The record is from RNAcentral. Lineage: Bacteria; Pseudomonadati; Bacteroidota; Bacteroidia; Bacteroidales; Porphyromonadaceae.
GAUGAACGCUAGCGAUAGGCUUAACACAUGCAAGUCGAGGGGCAGCAUGGUCUUAGCUUGCUAAGACUGAUGGCGACCGGCGCACGGGUGCGUAACGCGUAUGCAACUUGCCUCACAGAGGGGGAUAACCCGUCGAAAGACGGACUAAUACCGCGUACACUCCAUCUUGGGCAUACAAGGUAGAGGAAAUGAAAUUCGCUGUGAGACAGGCAUGCGUCCCAUUAGCUAGUUGGUGAGGUAACGGCUCACCAAGGCGACGAUGGGUAGGGGAACUGAGAGGUUGAACCCCCACACUGGUACUGAGACACGGACCAGACUCCUACGGGAGGCAGCAGUGAGGAAUAUUGGUCAAUGGGCGAGAGCCUGAACCAGCCAAGUCGCGUGAAGGAUGACUGUCUUAUGGAUUGUAAACUUCUUUUAUACGGGAAUAACAAGAGUCACGUGUGACUCCCUGCAUGUACCGUAUGAAUAAGCAUCGGCUAACUCCGUGCCAGCAGCCGCGGUAAUACGGAGGAUGCGAGCGUUAUCCGGAUUUAUUGGGUUUAAAGGGUGCGUAGGCGGCCUGUUAAGUCAGCGGUGAAAUCUAGGAGCUUAACUCCUAAAUUGCCAUUGAUACUGGCGGGCUUGAGUGUAGAUGAGGUAGGCGGAAUGCGUGGUGUAGCGGUGGAAUGCAUAGAUAUCACGCAGAACUCCGAUUGCGAAGGCAGCUUACUAAGGUACAACUGACGCUGAAGCACGAAAGCGUGGGUAUCAAACAGG